Molecule: long non-coding RNA, 3577 nt
Organism: Aethalodelphis obliquidens (Pacific white-sided dolphin)
Lineage: Eukaryota; Metazoa; Chordata; Mammalia; Artiodactyla; Delphinidae
Exons: 5
Source: RefSeq, a predicted model, not a curated record
CAAAGGGAGGGCGGGCGCUUUUGCCCUUCCUGUCUCCCUGCUGACUGGAAAGCUGAUAUGAGGCUGGCGCCCCAAUUAGCGAUGCUGGACCUUGAAGACACAGCUGAGGGUUGAGAUCCCUUACUCUGGGGGAAGCAAGCCUUGUGAGCAGCCUUAUGGAGAGGCCCACAUGGUUAGGAAAUGAAGUUUCCAGCCAACAGCCAACAAGAAACUGAGGCCUGUCAACAGCCAUGUGUGUGUCCUUGAAAUGGAUCCUGAGCCUUCAGUGACUACAGCCCUGGCUGACAGCUUGACUGUAACUUCAUGAGCGACUCUGAGCCAGAACCCUCAACAUCAGUGUGCCCAGAAUAAAAACCAACCAACGAACCAACCAACCAAACAGAAGUUACCCAAGAAGAAAAGUGGGACUCAAUCUACAGAAUCAGAGCACCUUGGGUCUUGGCUGCUGAAACACAAAACAAAUUUCCAGUGGAAAGGAAGCCAUAACCUAGAUUGUGAGACGGAUUUUGGUGUCAACCCUGAAUAAAAUCUUGGCUUUACUACAUUUUAGUUUUGUGACCAUAGCAUUGUGUUUGCAAGUUCAUCCAUGUUGUGGCACAAAUCUCUGGCUUAUUAAUUUCUACUGCUGUAUAGUCUCCCAUUGUAUGAAUUCACCACAAUGUAUCAAUCCAUUGUACUAAGGAUGGACAUUUGAAUUGCUUCUGAUUUGGAGCCAUUAUGGACAACAGUGCUGUGAACAUUCAUAUACAUGCAGUCUGGGGUACACAGGUACACAUUUCUCCAGGAUACAUAUCUAAGGAGCAGAAUUGCUGGUCAUAGGGUAUGCAUGCCUCAAAUUGUUUUUCAAUGUGCUUAUAGUAGCUCUUUUCCUCCCUAAACCAAACCUGAUGCAUAAGGAAAUAAAGUAGAUGACAGCACAGCUCUGAUCGAAGCAGGGAGCAGUCCCAGGGCUAGCUUCCUCUGUAUGGUGCUCUUGUUGGUGCUUUCUUGUGGGUCUAACACACCCUGUUCUCCAACAUUCUAUUUGCUUCUAUAUUCCCUCUGUUGCUUUAAAAGACAAGGGAUUCCAGUGAUUUCCCAUUCCAAGGGCAAGGAGAGAUUCUGGCCUUCUGAACCCACAAAUAGCAUUUCUACUAAGGAUUAUUUUAAUUUAGAAUCCCAAGAUUCUACUUUUAAAAUAGGUAUUUCCUUAGACCCUCCCUAAAGAAAUUCCUAUUGAAUAAAUAAAAUUUUUAAAAAUGCAUAAGAUACUCCUCCUGGGCCUAUCUGUCUUUAUUAUGUUCCUGAAUUAGCUUGACUUGGGUCUUGGCUGGAAGUAGAAAAAUUAUAUCCAACAGUUAUGUAAGAGAAUAGCUGAAAGCAAUUGGAUUAAAAUAUUUGAGCAGGUUAAGCCCAGAGAGGAUAUAUCAAAAUGUUGAGUACCGCUGGGGGUGUAAGGAGGAUAUCUGUACAGCAUCUGAUGUACUUGGAUGUUGACUCUCUCAUGGUCAGGAAUCCAUGGUGGUGGUUUAAGGUUUAAAGGGAAUUCAUGUUGUUAGGAGUUAUUAUCCCCAUCAAAAUGGCAAAACAUCGAAAUGGAGACUUUUCUCGAUGCUGUCUUUUGCCAAAACCGUAAUAGUAAAGCAGGAUUGAGGCUGGAACAGUCUGGGCAGUAGACAGGCCAAUGCAUGUAAUGCAUAUGAUUAAAAAUAGUUAGCACAAAGAAAUGGUUGUUAUUGUGCUUUGUCCAAGUUGGACUUAGUAACUAAUUAAGUAUAAGCUCCUUCUUCUUCUUCUUUUUUUUCCCCAUGGCCAUAUGCAGUUUUUGAAUUCUUAAAACACAAACUUUUUAGAAGAAGAAGUUAAAUACAGAAUGCAUUGAGUUUGGUAGAGAAAGUUUAAAGGUCUGCGUUUUCCCACCAAAGCUAUUUAAUAUCAGCUGCAGAGUGGGUGUGUGUGUGUGUGGAAAGGUUGUGACCUCCCUUAUUUUUACAACCAUUGCCAUGAUUUCAUAAUACUGGCAGCAGUCACCCAGAGUGAAAUAGACUUUAUUACAGUAAUUAUAUGCCAGAAUGUGGGUAUUAAAACAGAAAAACUUUUCUACUGAUAAUAAAUGUCAAGGGAAAAAUGACUUUACCCAACAACUAGCCCUUCAUCAGUGUUUUUAAUGUAUUAAUGGCCUCAGUGAAGAUGGAGACGUGUCCACAGGGAUAGAAGUUCAGACUCCAUAUAGCUUUUUUGCCUUAUUUGCAGAAUGUUAAGUAGGGCAGUUGAAAGAUAGAGGCAUGUUUUAGCAAGUUAGGUUUAUUUUUCUCCAUGGCAUAAAGUCAUAUAUUUUCACUUGAGCAGAUAUAGCUAUUGUUUUGGCAGAUUGAUUAAUUAUGGCCGUAACUGAAUUAGUCUAUUGUUUCUAGAUCACUUCAUUGAUUUUCCCUGUUUUGGUGGGUUUUUGAGAACUGGGAGAAGUAAUGCAGCAUGAGAAUUUUAUCUUGAAAUAUGGUAGUUUUCUGAAUAUUAAAAAGAAAAAGCUCAAAUAAGGACAAUGAAAGAUUUGAAUAAGUAUCAGAAGGUAUAACUUUUUGAAAAUGACCAUAUCUAAAUUAUAGGCUUGUGGCUGCUAAAUUAUACUCAUCUAGCAUUAAGUGUGGGGUUUAUCAGUACGUCUCUGAAAUAAUAAACAUGGUCUAAAUGUGGAAAGUAUACCUCAGGAAAACAUUUAAUCCACUUCGCAAUUAAAUUUAGUGAAAGGUUGAUUAAUUCCAAGAAAUACUAAAAUUAUAGUACUUCUUAUCUUUGAUUUCAAGGGACUUUGAAGUGGGCAGCUGGACUUUUCUCCAAAGUGCCCUAUUAGCUGGCAUAGAGAAAGAAUAUAUGCAGAAAACCAGUAGCAAAACUCAGAGCAAAAUAUGGGCUCCCAGCCUCCAUUAUGUAAGAGUCUAAAGGUCAUACUUUUCUUGGAUUUUUACACACUGUUGGAAGGUGACCUCCACUUUUCUCCAUUAGUGUUUAUUCCUGCAUACAGUUGGUGCUUAACAGAUUCAAGGGGCUGAUGAAGAUGAUUUUCAUUUGGCGCCUGCUCUAGACUUCUGCUUGGCCACAUGGAAGGAUCUGGGUUCAGAAUCUCCUGGAGUGAGUUGACUGUUGAUGGUGACCUGGGGCAGCAUCUCAGAGGAGCCAUAGGCCUGCCGGCAGUCAUCAAUCACUGACUCACAACAGCCUUAGGUGCUUGCUACUCCCACGCAGUCUCAUUGCUCAAAAUCGAGACCAGUCCUCCGAACAGGACACUGAUUCCUCUUAUGUGUUUUCUCUGUUUUCUGCAGCGGGUUUGUCUUUAACAAUGAGCCAUUCAUGGGCACCCAGGGAGCUACCCAGGACCAGGGAGACGGCUGCAGGCCCCUGCAGGCAGCUGGCCAUGUUCCAGUCCAGAUAUUCUUGGGAAUGUGGAAUUAUUUGAAUCAAAGGGAAAUAAAUCUUUUGCAAAUGUUAAUACAAAUGACUGUGGGAAGGGCUUGCUGCUAAAAGAGAAGCUGAGAAUUCUUGGUGCCUACUGAGUUAUUUUUUGGCAGGCAAUACUACUAGGUUGCUAUGGGAAUGAUGA